Molecule: small RNA, 112 nt
Filed under: Salmonella enterica
Lineage: Bacteria; Pseudomonadati; Pseudomonadota; Gammaproteobacteria; Enterobacterales; Enterobacteriaceae
Also listed under: 1 other name
Description: partial RtT sRNA
Rfam family: RtT RNA
About the family: This family represents a bacterial cis-regulatory element known as RtT RNA. The exact function of RtT is unknown although it is thought that it may be involved in changing the cellular response in relation to amino acid starvation.
Source: RNAcentral
AUAUCUCUCUGUACGGGAAGGAUGAGAAGCUUCGACUAAGGUUCGAUUCGAGCGAAAGCGAGAAAGCGUUGCCAACGGCAACGACCCGAAGGGCGAAGCGCGCAGCGCUGAG